Molecule: ribosomal RNA, 253 nt
Filed under: uncultured bacterium
Lineage: Bacteria
Description: partial 16S ribosomal RNA
Rfam family: Bacterial small subunit ribosomal RNA
Source: RNAcentral
GACAGAGGUGCCGAGCGUUAGGCGGAAUCACUGGGCUUAAAGCGUGUGUAGGUGGACGGCUCAGUGCCUCGUGAAAUCCCUCGGCUCAACCGAGGAAUGGCCUGGCAUACUGGUCGUCUUGAGCUGCCCAGGGGCAACUGGAACAAACGGUUGAGCGGUGAAAUGCGUAGAUAUCGUUUGGAACGCCAACGGUGAAAACAGGUUGCUGGGGGCAUGCUGACACUGAGACACGAAAGCCAGGGGAGCAAACGGG